CAAGUCGAACGAGGCCACUCCUUCGGGAGUGAGUCGAGUGGCGGACGGGUGAGUAACACGUGAGCAAUCUACCCUUGUGCGGGGGAUAACCCGGGGAAACCCGGGCUAAUACCGCAUGUUUCGAUGAAGGGACAUCCCUUUUUCGGGAAACGUGGCCUCUUUACAAUGCUACGGCGCAGGGAGGAGCUCGCGGGCUAUCAGCUAGUUGGUGAGGUAAUGGCUCACCAAGGCAGCGACGGCUACGGGGUCUGAGAGGACGACCCCGCACAUUGGAACUGAGACACGGUCCAGACUCCUACGGGAGGCAGCAGUGGGGAAUAUUGGGCAAUGGCCGAAAGGCUGACCCAGCGACGCCGCGUGUGGGAGGAAGCCCUUCGGGGUGUAAACCACUGUCAGAGGGGACGAAAGAAUUGCGGGUAAACAAUCCGCAGAAGUGACGGUACCCUCAAAGGAAGCACCGGCUAACUCUGUGCCAGCAGCCGCGGUAAUACAGAGGGUGCAAGCGUUGUUCGGAAUUACUGGGCGUAAAGCGCGCGCAGGCGGAUCCUGCAAGUCAGAAGUGAAAUCUCACUGCUCAACGGUGAGGCUGCUUUUGAUACUGCGGAUCUGGAGACCGGUAGAGGCUGGUAGAAUUGCAGGUGUAGCGGUGGAAUGCGUAGAGAUCUGCAAGAAUACCCGUGGCGAAGGCGGCCAGCUGGGCCGGUUCUGACGCUGAGGCGCGAAAGCGUGGGGAGCAAACAGGAUUAGAUACCCUGGUAGUCCACGCCGUAAACGAUGGGCACUAGGUGCU
RNAcentral lists this ribosomal RNA (790 nucleotides) under uncultured Pseudomonadota bacterium. Its description in RNAcentral is "bacterial SSU rRNA". It matches the Rfam family "Bacterial small subunit ribosomal RNA", at positions 58 to 824 of the family's 1533-position model. Lineage: Bacteria; Pseudomonadati; Pseudomonadota. The record is from RNAcentral.